Molecule: ribosomal RNA, 484 nt
Filed under: uncultured bacterium
Lineage: Bacteria
Description: partial 16S ribosomal RNA
Rfam family: Bacterial small subunit ribosomal RNA
Source: RNAcentral
AUUGAACGCUGGCGGCAGGCCUAACACAUGCCAGUCGAGCGGAUGAAGGGAGCUUGCUCCUGGAUUCAGCGGCGGACGGGUGAGUAAUGCCUAGGAAUCUGCCUGGUAGUGGGGGAUAACGUCCGGAAACGGGCGCUAAUACCGCAUACGUCCUGAGGGAGAAAGUGGGGGAUCUUCGGACCUCACGCUAUUAGAUGAGCCUAGGUCGGAUUAGCUAGUUGGUGGGGUAAAGGCCUACCAAGGCGACGAUCCGUAACUGGUCUGAGAGGAUGAUCAGUCACACUGGAACUGAGACACGGUCCAGACUCCUACGGGAGGCAGCAGUGGGGAAUAUUGGACAAUGGGCGAAAGCCUGAUCCAGCCAUGCCGCGUGUGUGAAGAAGGUCUUCGGAUUGUAAAGCACUUUUAGUUGGGAGGAAGGGCAGUAAGUUAAUACCUUGCUGUUUUGACGGUACCAACAGAAUAAGCACCGGCUAACUUCGUG